Molecule: ribosomal RNA, 452 nt
Filed under: uncultured bacterium
Lineage: Bacteria
Description: bacterial SSU rRNA
Rfam family: Bacterial small subunit ribosomal RNA
Source: RNAcentral
AGCGACGCCGCGUGCGGGAAGAAGGCCUUCGGGUUGUAACACACUGUCGGGAGUUAAGAAAUGUAAGGAUGUUAAUAGUCUCUUUACUUGACUAAGGCUCCGGAGGAAGCCACGGCUAACUCUGUGCCAGCAGCCGCGGUAAUACAGAGGCGGCAAGCGUUGUUCGGAAUUAUUGGGCGUAAAGAGCACGUAGGCGGCUAUGCAAGUCAGCUGUGAAAGCCUUCCGCUCAACGGGAGAACAGCAUUUGAUACUGCAUGGCUCGAGUGCGGGAGGGGAGAGUGGAACUUCUGGUGGAGCGGUGAAAUGCGUAGAUAUCAGAAGGAACAUCGGCGGCGAAAGCGACUCUCUGGCCCGUAACUGACGCUGAGUGUGCGAAAGCUAGGGGAGCAAACGGGAUUAGAUACCCCGGUAGUCCUAGCCGUAAACGAUGGGCACUCGGUAGAGGGGUUUU